RNAcentral lists this long non-coding RNA (2160 nucleotides) under Setaria italica (foxtail millet). RNAcentral's name for it is "long non-coding RNA (SITA_LNC001419)". The record is from RNAcentral. Lineage: Eukaryota; Viridiplantae; Streptophyta; Magnoliopsida; Poales; Poaceae.
AUGCAUUAGUAGCAAAACUAACAUACCAAUUUGUUGUGAGUAUCAAUACAACAUAGUUGCAGCUUUCAUGGCUAGAGGGUGUAUGUUUCCUAGAUACCUGAUGGAUAUGUGCCAACCACCACUUGUUCGUGAAACACAAUUGUCCUAUUAUGCACCGAAACAAAGAAGAAUCGAUGAAGACUUUUGACAGCAACACUGAGUUACAGGCACCGAAAAAAGAUCACAAGCUGAUAAGAUAUAUUAGCAUACUUUCUGAAUGAAGGGUACAUAACUAGUUCAAUUGUCAGAUAAAUAUAAAAAUUUGAUUGUUAAUAUGAUAUAAAUUUAUAGGCACACACAACCUUAUCAAAGCUUUAUCCAUAGUUACCAUUUUAAUUUGGAGAAAAUACAUCGGAGGAAAUUCAGAGCACCAUAAGUUCUAAAUUAAAAAAUGCUUAACUAGUUGUCUGGCUGGCUAAUUACACCUAACAAAAAUCAUCAUCAUCAUAAUGUCUUCAAAAAGAAAAAACAGUAUGUCGAAACCAAUAUAAGUGGUACAUUGAAUUCAUUCCAUUGUAGAUGGAAAAAGAAUUUAUAGCAGCAACAUCAAACAUUGAAAAAAAUAGUUCUAACAAUUGAAAAAGUAUUGCACCUUGAAGCUAGUACUAUAUGAUUUACUCAACUUAUUCACACAUAGAUCAUGCACAAGGAAAGUAUAAAUCCUCAUAUCACAACAUUAAAGUGGGACUCAAAUUGAUGCAACCAAUUUCCUGUGUUGCAAUUUAGGAUAAAGUUACUUCCCUAUAUAACCUAUACCAAUGAUUGGUUACUUCCUAUUACCUACAAACUAAAGCAAGUUACUUCCAAUCUAAUUUAAAUACAUGACAAGUUACUUCCUUAAUGUUCAAAAUAAGAGACGAUUUACUUGCAAUGUUAUGUAAAUAAUCAAUUAGUUACUUCUUAUGUAGUUCAAAUCAGAUACAAGGUACGUCCUAACUAAAACAAACAAGUAAGUUACUUUGUUUAUCUUGUGAAUUUGUGAUUAAUUACUUCAUAUUUUUUGUAAAAAAACUAUGAGUUAAAUCCUAUGUCAGAUUUGCACUGACAAGUUACUUCCUACCUCAAAAUAGAAAGGAGAACGAGGAAGCACCUGCAUCUGCAGCUACAGGCGAGCUCUAGACUAGUGGGCAAACCAAAAACAACAUGAUUCAUGGACUGAUCGAAUUCUAAUGACUGUUUUGCUAGGAGAAUGAACAUGAUUCAUACAAAAAGGGGAGCUACUAACUAGCAUAAGCAAAAGAAAAAAUGACUGCAACUUGAACAUAGUAAUACAUAUUCCGCUCAAUGCAUUUGACAUGUAAAAUCAUGCAGCAACAAUACCAGUGCUAGAACUGAAGGGAAUAGGGACCGGAUGGAGCGCAGAACAUGUCUCCCCCACAAUUUAUCCUUUUAAUUUUAGAAACUGAUAAUUAAUGCAUAUAAGCUGUCCAGAUUAUAAAACUAAUCCUCGAGGGUGUUCUGGUGUGACAAGCCUGUAGCUACAACUACGAUCAUGUAUAGAGGGAUCUGCUGGGAAAUCUAACACAUAAUAACCUCAGAAGAAAAAUAUCUAGUUGAAUAUAGAGGAUGUGCUGCAUACACAAAACGUUUGGGAGGAAGGGAGUGGCAAGCAUUCGCAGGACCCCCUCGUCAACGAUGCUCCCUAUCGUGUCAGCGCGUCAACGGCGCCGCGUACCGCGAUGGGUCCGUCAGCCUUCAUCCUCCCGCAAUGGAUCCGCCUCCAGCAACGGCUCCGACUUCCAACAAAGCCUCCGCGUCCUGCGAUGGUGCCGCCUGCAACAUCUCCGCCUCCUACGAAGGCUCCACCUCCGCGACGGCGCCGCCUCCCGCAACAGCUCCACCACACCUUGCUUCCGUGUGAGGACUCACGAGAUCCAAACCACGGACUAGCCAAGACGGCGUAACGCCUGGGCCCUGGCCCUAGCCCAUAUUGCCAUGGUUGUGGUGUGGGCCAUUGUGCCAUACUGAGACCCAGUCCAAGGCGAAGCUAAGUCAGCAUCUCCUAUAGAAAGAUCGGCCAGCAACAGUAGAAACGAAUAGAAAUCAUAUCGGAGAAAAUCCCCCAAUUAGUCAUCUUCCUCGGGAAGAAGCGGCCAGGUGAGCUCCUGGAUCUCCUCACAC